AUGAUGUUAUGCUCUGAGAUUUUGUUUUCACCUUCUUUUGCAAAUGUUAAGUGGAUGAAUACUAUUCUUUUGUAGGUUAUUGGAGUGGUUGUAGCUGACACACAUGAAAAUGCAAAACUUGCUGCUAGAAAGGUUCAUGUUGAGUAUGAAGAUCUACCUGCAGUUUUAUCAAUAGAGGAUGCUAUACAGGCUAACAGUUAUCAUCCUAAUACGGCAAGGUGUCUGACAAAAGGAGACGUCGAACAGUGUUUCCAAUCAGGACAAUGUGACAAUAUUAUAGAAGGAGAAGUUAGGGUAGGUGGUCAGGAACAUUUUUAUUUGGAGCCUCAAGGGACUUUAAUAUGGACAGUGGAUAGUGGCAACGAGGUGCACAUGAUCUCAUCCACCCAGGUACUUCAACUUAAUUCUAGUAAUUCUCUUUUGGUUUCUCAAAUAUAUCUAGAUUUAUAGGACAUUUGUUGUGGUGUUGGGCUCUUUAUUUCCCCCCCAUAACACCUGUACUUUGCAAGUUUAGAUGUAAGUGUUAAUAAUCUUUUCAAUAAAGGUGGUAAAUAAAGGAACAUGCUAGCUAUCGGCCAUUGAGUUGACAAAGUUUGUCUACGUAAAGCCUCGUUCCUAAGUUAAUUUCAGUUAAUAAGUUGCGAAUAUACCCAAAGAGCAGUAGUUGUUAAUGUAUGUUUAAAAAAACCACCAGGGUAACUGCAUGUGUUUGCCAUACUUGAAGUCUC
RNAcentral lists this long non-coding RNA (728 nucleotides) under Nicotiana benthamiana. RNAcentral's name for it is "long non-coding RNA (NBEN_LNC041578)". Lineage: Eukaryota; Viridiplantae; Streptophyta; Magnoliopsida; Solanales; Solanaceae. The record is from RNAcentral.